GGUCCCGUAGCUCAGUGGCAGAGCAGUCGCCUCUUAAGCGAUUGGUCGGAGGUUCGAAUCCUCCCGGGAUCA
Molecule: transfer RNA, 72 nt
Filed under: Candidatus Woesebacteria bacterium RIFCSPHIGHO2_01_FULL_44_10
Lineage: Bacteria; Candidatus Woeseibacteriota
Also listed under: 2 other names
Description: tRNA-Lys
Rfam family: tRNA
About the family: Transfer RNA (tRNA) molecules are approximately 80 nucleotides in length. Their secondary structure includes four short double-helical elements and three loops (D, anti-codon, and T loops). Further hydrogen bonds mediate the characteristic L-shaped molecular structure. tRNAs have two regions of fundamental functional importance: the anti-codon, which is responsible for specific mRNA codon recognition, and the 3' end, to which the tRNAs corresponding amino acid is attached (by aminoacyl-tRNA synthetases). tRNAs cope with the degeneracy of the genetic code in two manners: having more than one tRNA (with a specific anti-codon) for a particular amino acid; and 'wobble' base-pairing, i.e. permitting non-standard base-pairing at the 3rd anti-codon position.
Source: RNAcentral